Molecule: long non-coding RNA, 1075 nt
Filed under: Parus major (Great Tit)
Lineage: Eukaryota; Metazoa; Chordata; Aves; Passeriformes; Paridae
Description: lncRNA (ENSPMJG00000001747.1)
Source: RNAcentral
GAACGUGACAUUAGGACUGGAUUUGCAGAAUGUUGCCCAACAGGUGGGUGGAGUUUCUUUGACUUCGUUUCAGCUGGAGUAUUGAAACACACAGAUGCAGCCUUUAAAAUUAAUCUAGACUGUGAGAAAAAAGGUAACAAGAAUGUUCAAAUACAUGAGCUUGCACCACCAGCAUGUGUCCUUGCUCUUUCUCUUCUAGCUGUAAUAAUCACCUCCCAGUUAAGAUGGUUCUUCUCUUCCUCUGUCAUUCCUUGUUUCUGCAGUUCUGCACUGGAAAGCAGAGGGGAUAUUGGAUUUCCUUUCAUCACAAUGACAAGUCAGGGAAACAUCUGUUUUAAACAAAAUGUGCAAAAGUUAUAUAUAUGUUUAUUUGUCAUCUGCUGCUGGGAGCUGCUGAGUGACCUGCUGGUGUGCCCUAUAGACCUGGCCAUGGGAAAGACUGACUGUUGUUAACCUCUCAGCUCUUCCAUACCAGGGCACUGAUACAGGAGGCUGUUGGGAGCUUCCAUCUGACCAUAAUGUGAGAAACUCCAAUGCUGUGUGCACUGCCCAUGGAGGAGGCUGGAACUUCAGGGCAUUAUCUCACCAAAGACUCACUGAUACAGGCUUUGCUCAAGACUGCAGGUCCUUACUAAUUCAUUCUAAGGGGAGCAUGGAGAGGUUCCUACCCAUAACGGGAGUGAAAUCCUGCCUUGCUCCAGCUUGGGCUUUUGCCACGGCGCUGGGUGACAGCAGAUUUCAUCACUGGAUGGUGCAUCCUGACAUGGGCAUGAGAGAGUGUGAGCUGAGCUGGAGCACAGAAACCAUGAGCAGGGCAGCAACCUGGAGGCUAUCAGGUGUUGUAGAGAGAGGCACCUGAGUGGGAGUGGAGACGGGGAUAAUCAUUUCCUCAUGCAAAUGCUGCCUAAAAAGGGGUUGGUCUCUUGAGUAACAAAAGGGUUUUAAUAUGUGAGCUCCAAUUUUCUGUCUAUAUUUGCCUGUGUUUGGGUCUGUUUAUUUAUACUUCAUCGUGUGAAACAUGGUAGAGGACAAUGGUUUGUUCUCAGUCAGGGAAAUUAUUGCUACAAUACAGAAU